CAAACAUCAAGCAGUCAGAAGCUGACAGCAGGUGUCCCUGCCCCUGGCCUGCAGAUCCGAUGGAGCCCUGAUGGGCACUGAUCUAGAUUCAUGUAUUCAGCCCCCGCAGCAGGCCUGAAGCUGUCCUCUAGUUCAGUGGCUUUCCAGAGUCUAUACAGGGCACCCACUGCUGAAGCAAUCCUCCUAAGUU
This is a long non-coding RNA of Oxyura jamaicensis (ruddy duck), 190 nucleotides long. RefSeq lists it as uncharacterized. The transcript has 2 exons. The record is from RefSeq and is a predicted model, not a curated record. Lineage: Eukaryota; Metazoa; Chordata; Aves; Anseriformes; Anatidae.